Molecule: long non-coding RNA, 1329 nt
Organism: Rosa chinensis
Lineage: Eukaryota; Viridiplantae; Streptophyta; Magnoliopsida; Rosales; Rosaceae
Exons: 2
Source: RefSeq, a predicted model, not a curated record
UCUUCUGCGCCGAUUCCAUAACCUCUUUAAGGGUUUCGUUCUAUUUGCUUAUACAUAGAAACAACCGUGGAGAAACCCCAAAGGCUGCCACACACGUAAAUCUCCACGGUGUUCUGUGUAUAAGCAGAUGAGCAGGACCCGCACUUUCUCUCUUUCAUACGCUUUGGAUCAAUCCGCGUUGUUUCUUACAGAGGUCGAUAAAUAUAAAGGAUUCAUUCCAUUUGUUUAUACAAAGAGAUGACUGUUGAAGAGGAAGAGGUUUAGGGAAAAGUUUCUCUCAGAUUCUUUCUCGACGUACAGUCUCUCUUUGUAUAAACAAAUGUACUGGAUCUGAUUAUCAACUGUGUGUUUCUGAAAGAUCUAAUACUUGCGUGGACUGUUGUUUCCUUUGGCCUUCUGGUUGUUCCGACCACGUGAUCUGACAGUUGAGCUAUGAAUUUGUGAACUACCAGAUUACUUGUGUUGUGCAUGUGUUUGGAUUCUGGACCAUCUCAAUGGGUUAGACUAUUUUUGUAUAUUCAUGUCUUUGUGGUGGUUAGCUCUCUGGAAUUGGGUACUUUGUGUGUUUGUCUUUCAGAUUUGUGAUGAUAUUGGGUUAUAUAUGUAUGUAUCUUUUUGCUGUGUAUUCUCUAUGAGAUAAAAUGGCUUAAGGUCUAGAUGCAUGCUAUAUCUUUAUGAGUUUGUCUUUCAGAUCUGUGGGUUGUAGGUGUUGCUAAUAAUUGAAUAUAUGCCAUGAUGAUGAUCAUGUACAAUAGGUUGAUUUAUGUUAUAUUGUGCGGUAUGGCGUUUACGAAUUCUAAUUUCUUGCUAUGUGGAUGAAAAUAUUGAUGAAGAUGGAAGUGAUGACUAUUUCCCCAGAUGAUCGAAGCUGAACUAACUGAGCUAUUUACAUCUCUGUUACACAGAGAUACCAAGCCAGGUGUUUCUGAUCCAUCUUCAUGUAAUAAUUUCAAAUCUGUAGAUUGGUUGACUAUUUGAUGUUUUCAUUGUUUGAGUGGUUUUAUGCGUGUUGUGAAAUGAAUGAAUGAAUCAGGUUAAUAAUUGUGAUAAGGAACGUAUUGCGUGAGCUUUAGGCUAUCCCCUGUCAAUAUAAGAGUUGUUGAUUAUAUAGUAUCCUGUUUGUAGUUGAAAUUUAAUAGGUGCUGCUGCCAAAGUUGAAGCCUUGUGGGGUGCUCUACGCAGCGAACUUUUCAACCCAUAUCAUUCUCAAUGAAUCAGUCUCGCUUGAAAACUGCUUUAGUGAUCCUAAAUUCUGAAAGACAUGCGUAUAUUGUUGAAAUAUUGGGGAAGGAAAUGUGUCCUCACUCGGAUUUCUUUCCAUUGCUAAAA